This 74-nucleotide transfer RNA is filed under the name Ictidomys tridecemlineatus (thirteen-lined ground squirrel). RNAcentral's name for it is "Spermophilus tridecemlineatus (thirteen-lined ground squirrel) tRNA". It matches the Rfam family "tRNA". From Rfam's summary of the family: Transfer RNA (tRNA) molecules are approximately 80 nucleotides in length. Their secondary structure includes four short double-helical elements and three loops (D, anti-codon, and T loops). Lineage: Eukaryota; Metazoa; Chordata; Mammalia; Rodentia; Sciuridae. The record is from Rfam by way of RNAcentral.
GGUGAUGUAGCUCAAUUGUACAGAGUAUAUGUCUAGUACGCAUGAGUCCCUAGGUUCAAUCUCUAGGAUUUCCC